UUGAAACAACAGAAAUUUAUUCUCUCACAGUCUAGAGACCAGACGUGCACGAUCAGUUUCAGGGGUCCCAAAUCGAAGUGCUGGCGGGGCUACCCUCCCUCUGGAGGCUCUGCGGGAGAGUCCAGUCCUCGCCUCCUCCACUUGGGUGGCUGCUGGCACUCCUUGGCUGUGGUCACAUCACUCGAGCCUUUUGGCCACCAUCUCUAAAUCUCUAUCUGCCCCGUCUUCACAUGGCCUUCUCUUCUGUACCUGUGUCAAAUCCAUCUCUGCCUUCCUCUUGUAAGGACAUCUGUGAUUACAUUUAGGGCCCGCCUGGAUGAUCCAGGACCGUCUCUCCAUCUCAAGAUCUUUAACUUCGUCGCAUCUGCAAAGACCCUUUUUCCUAGUAAGGUAAUAUUCAUGGGUUCCAGGAAUUAGGAGCUGAUAUCUUUCGGGCCAUUAUUCAACCUAGCACACCCUCUGUUUUCAGUCCCGUGUCCUGACCGUCUGCUUCUGUCCCUAGUGCCUUUAACGCCUUCUAGAAGUUCCAUGAGGGAAGAUUUGCUUCCAAUCCGUAGCCCCCUCUCUCUGGGGACUUGUGUAGCUUUCUCUUCUCUCCUAGGUCAGCACCAUUCCUUCAAUACUCGUCCACAUUCUAAAAAUGUGCUGACAUUUUGCUAUGGUCUGAAUGUUUGUGUCCCCCCAAAAUUCAUAUGUUCAAAUGCUAACCCCUAAAGGUGCCGGUAUUAUGACGUGGUGCCUUUGGGGGGUGAUUGGGUCACAAGGGUGCAGCCCUCACAGAUGAUGGAUGAGUGCCCUGAUAAAAGAGACCCCAGAGAGCUCCCUAACUCCUUCCACCAUGUGAGGACACAACGAGAAGUCUGUGACCGGAAGAGAGCCCCCACCCGACCACGCUGGCACCCUGACCUUGGAUUUCCAGCCUCCAGAGGAGGAGAAAGGAAUUUCUGCUGUUUAUAAACCACCCAGUCUGUGGUAUUUUGCUAUGCUGCCCGAACGGACUAAGACACAUCUCUCCUUGGCAGUCACCGCAUCCCCCUUCUCCUCGUUCUGGGUGUGCUGGCAGGAGGUGGAGCAGCCAUAUUGACCCAUGAGGUAGAAGAUGAGUGUUGAGGAUACAGAGAAACAAGAUAGCAGGAGCCUGGAUCCCUAAUGACUUCGCCGAGAAGAGGCACCAUGCCAGCUCAGACUUGGACAGAGCGAACCGUCCUCCUGGAGAAAACAUCGCCACCUCACCCCUGGGCCCUGGGGAAGCUGGGAGUGGCUUUGCCUCUGUUUGAAGAAGGAAGGUGCUACCCGAAGGGGCUGGCCUGCAGGACACCCUCAAAGGAGGACCCUGGAGGCACAAAACCUGGAUGCUUCUCCAGCGCUAGGCAGGGAGCCUGACGCUCAGGCAGCUGCUCUUCAAGGGCAUCCAGCGAAGCCCCUUCUUGUCCUCUGAUCCCACCCUCGGGGACAACUGUGCCUGUGCCCGGCACUGUGCCAGAGGCUUUGCACACAUUGUCUCUUUUCAAUCCUCACAGCAAUAAUGGGGGAGGCACUAUUCUGGCCCCCAUUUUACAGAUGAGAAUACUGAGUCUCGGAGAGAUGCGCGAACCUUCUUCUCAAGGGCAUUUGGCAAGCAUCAAGGCCAGAACUUGAACCCUCUCAGCCCAGCGCCACUGUCCUGCUGGGAGCCCCAAGCCCUUACUUCACUCGCCCUGUUCCUUCUGAGACUGCCCACGCUCUGGCUAGUGCUGCC
Long non-coding RNA from Equus caballus (horse), 1738 nucleotides. Lineage: Eukaryota; Metazoa; Chordata; Mammalia; Perissodactyla; Equidae. The record is from Ensembl.